GUAUGGUGCAAGCGUUAUCCGGAUUUACUGGGUGUAAAGGGAGCGUAGACGGAGAGGCAAGUCUGAAGUGAAAGCCCGGGGCUCAACCCCGGGACUGCUUUGGAAACUGCAGUUCUAGAGUGCCGGAGAGGUAAGCGGAAUUCCUAGUGUAGCGGUGAAAUGCGUAGAUAUUAGGAGGAACACCAGUGGCGAAGGCGGCUUACUGGACGGUGACUGACGUUGAGGCUCGAAAGCGUGGGGAGCAAACAGGAUUAGAUACCCUGGUAGUCCACGCCGUAAACGAUGACUACUAGGUGUCGGUGAGCAAAGCUCAUCGGUGCCGCAGCCAACGCAAUAAGUAGUCCACCUGGGGAGUACGUUCGCAAGAAUG
Molecule: ribosomal RNA, 370 nt
Filed under: uncultured bacterium
Lineage: Bacteria
Description: bacterial SSU rRNA
Rfam family: Bacterial small subunit ribosomal RNA
Source: RNAcentral